UACGUAGGGUGCAAGCGUUGUCCGGAAUCACUGGGCGUAAAGGGCGCGUAGGUGGCGCCCCAAGUCCGUGGUGAAAGCUCGAUGCUCAACAUCGAGUCGGCCACGGAAACUGGGGGGCUCGAGCACUGUAGAGGCAGAUGGAAUUCCGGGUGUAGCGGUGGAAUGCGUAGAGAUCCGGAAGAACACCGGUGGCGAAGGCGGUCUGCUGGGCAGUAGCUGACACUGAGGCGCGACAGCGUGGGGAGCAAACAGG
RNAcentral lists this ribosomal RNA (253 nucleotides) under uncultured bacterium. RNAcentral describes it as "partial 16S ribosomal RNA". It matches the Rfam family "Bacterial small subunit ribosomal RNA", at positions 524 to 776 of the family's 1533-position model. The record is from RNAcentral.